Larimichthys crocea (large yellow croaker) is the source of this 7847-nucleotide long non-coding RNA. RefSeq lists it as uncharacterized. Lineage: Eukaryota; Metazoa; Chordata; Actinopteri; Sciaenidae. The record is from RefSeq and is a predicted model, not a curated record. The transcript is spliced from 3 exons.
CCGCCUUGUUGGCAGGGGGUAAGUGUAGGGCUGGAGGACAGGACGGGAGGAGGGUUGAAGAGGAAGGGGGGGCUUUGGGUUCAGAGAGUUCAGCUGAGGAGAGAAAUAAAUGCAUAAACAACAAAGGAGACGUGACGUCAGGUUGAGGGGCUGUCCAACCUGCUGGCUGAAUCUGAGCCUCCACGGAAGAACCGGAUUGUUCGCACCACACGUGUGUGUGUGUGUGUGUGUGUGUGUGCGCGCGCGCCUGUGUACAGUAUGAAUGUGUGUGAGUGUGUGCCUGUGUGUCCAUUGUACUAUCUUCAAGAAAAGACCCGUGGAGCUGAAGCAGAGAAGCUGGACUAUUGUUGUCUGUUUAGUCUCCGCGAAUUACACUCAGCAUUUUCAAAAUGACAUCAGCUCAGACGUGAGCUCUGAUUGGUUGGCUCAGCUUGGGAUACCCGCUCAAACGCCAGCAAUUGGUCCUCAAGCGGGCUACAGAGAAGGUCGGCCAUUUAUGAACAGAUGGAUUUAUGUUUUCUCUCUUAAUGAUUGAGGUCAUCUAGAGGCGACAGCUCGCUGAUCCAAGAGCUCCUUUGGUUUUCAACUGUCUUGCUGGUGUGAGAAUGCAUAGGGAGACCUGGGAAAGAUGCCAAGAGAAGCUAGAGAAAGAAGAAGAAGAAGAAGAAGAAAAAAAAAAGUGACAUUCUGUGAAAUAUCCACCCUCCUCGCUCAUUGAUUCAUUUAGCUGAACUCCCUCAAACCCCUCCCACUUAGGAGAGCAGAUAUUAUCCCCGAUGGAGGGAGAGGACAAAUUGACGGGAGGAUAAAGAAGGACAUGAAGAAAAAAAAAGGCAGAAUAAAGAUGUUGAAAGAGAGAGUGCCCCCCCAAGGGGACUCCUCUUUGAGAGGGAACUUGACAACAAAUGUCCAUCAGUUUAGAGUGUGAAUCUCAGGACAGUUUGAGCUCUUUUAAUCUAUUGAUUGUGCAAAUAUGGUGAGAUGGAACAAUAUGGCAGGAGUGUCGGCAUCGGCUUGUCUCUCUCGCCAUCUGUCUGUUGCUGCAGGAUAGUAUAUAUAAGUACAGUACAAGGGCUGUGUGUGAGCAGACGUCCCUCUGUCACCCUGUGUACGGACAGACGCACUCACGCCAGUAGGAGGGGAUUGUGGGAAAGGGGUGUAGCUCUCAGAGGGUGUGCUCUACUCCUCUCUUUUCCCUUCUUCCCGCCAUCACGGCCCUCUUCUCCUCCAGUCCUCCGGCCCAGCCCGCCGCUCACGUACGAGCUCCAGGUAUUUUUCUUUUUUAUCCUGCGACACCUCUUCCCAUCUUUUUCACUGCCCUAUAAUCUUUAUCCUCCAGUUCCUCUCGCCCUCUUCUCUGUCCCUCAUCAUGGUCUUUCUCCUGUAAAUAUGUCUAUCGUCGUCGGUUGCCACGCUGUACUCCGCUCGCCGCCAUUUUGGCUCAAUGGACAUAACAGGAGAAACUUUUCUAGAGCUCAGAGGGACACCCCGACUCCCUGCUGACCAUCUUCUUUCUCCUGCUUCCAUGAUCUCUUUUUUCUCUGUCCGUAUCCCCUUCUUCCUCUGCCCUCUCUGCUCCAGUACAGCAGGCUGUGACAGGGUGGUGAACCAUCUCUCUGUGGCUUUUCGUACUGAACAGGUGUCUCUUUGUAGACUGGCAGGAGGAAGGACAAGCCUUCUUGGUUACUUUCUGACCUCAGAGGGUUGACCGAGCCAGAGAGCUGUUGUUGUGUUCAGGUCUGUACAAGUUUAGUUGCUGACCAGUGUUGGAGAGCUGCACCCACAGGACAGGACAAGUGAGACACUUGGCAGGUUUCCUAUCAGUCACCCAGAGCCGUUAUGAUAGUUAGUAUGAGGACGAUAUUUACUUUGUAUCUCAUUCCUUUCAGACACUGUUUGCACUUUAUGCCACUGUGAAAACUCACAGUGUAUACGACAGUUGUUUCACACAGAUAAAACUCACCUACGUGUAUGUAGGUGAGGUUUUAUCUGUCUGCGAUCUGUAGGUGUGACAGUUUGUUAAACGGGGGCAACUGUAAUGUUUGUCUUGAUACACUGCGUCACAGGAUACUAUGUGUAAUACUUUGCACUUCAGGGGAAACUGAGGCAGAAAUGAAACCGAGAUUCAGGCAGACAAUGCGGUAAAGAAAAACUUUGUUCCAUUUCAGUAUUCGCCAGGAGUUCUCUGCGAUCUGCUCGUUGAAAAAGAAGAAGAAAUGUGACAAUCGCGUUUGUCUGAUUGAUGUGUAUCUUAGUCAGCUAAGACAAUAUUUCAGUCUCCGAAAUAGAUAAAACAGGAUAUACUAAUUAAGCAGAAACUGACUUUUAGAGGAGAAAAUUAAUACGAUUGAAUUACAUGCAAUAUAUACAUAUACUAUACACAAUUAGGAAUCUAACUGGGCUGCUUAUUGUCAGUAUUGUAUCUAGAUCUAAAUAUGGGUUGGUGUUAAGAUGGCGCCUUCGUGCCACGUGUUUAAGAAACAGUGAAUAUGGGCAGACCCUUUCAGCAUGCCCCUCACAUUUGUGGGUAUACUACUCCUAAUUCCUCUGCGACAGUCUUUGUCAUUUCAGAUGACUCGGCUGUGGCAUUAGGUGGCAAAUUAAUUUCUAGAAAAAGAUCCUGAAAGAACCUCUGGUUAUGUAUAUCGACAUGUGACAGUGAGGAAAAUGUUAAGAAAGAAAAAGCUAGAGAAAAAGAGAGAACAAGGGUUACAGAGACAGAAAGAGAGGUAGGAGUGGAAGAGCUCUUUCCCCGCCCUCUCUUAUCCUCAGAUGAACUUAUCGUGUUGCCUCAUAAUGUUUCUGAGUUUUUCUCCUAGAGGCAGUCAGGCUAACUUCCUGCAUUCAGCCGCAACAUAGCUGAUUGGUUGAUAUGUUGGCUGACCGGCCGCGGUUUGCAGCGAGGCAACAGGAAGUUUCUCUUCUCAUGCAGGAAGCUGCAGCUGUUUCGUCCUGACAUACACCACUUGCACUCUUGCACGUAUACUCUUUGUACACAAGUAUGCAUGCACACCCUCUUUGAAGGGGCAUACCUCUCAAAGUGUGUGAGUGUGUGUGUGUGUGUGCGUUUGUGCAUAUGCAUGUGUAUACGCGCGUAUUGCUUGUUCUGUGUGGCAUUAGUGAGUGCUGUAACAUGUGGGCGUGUAGCAACAUGCCAGACCAGGCAUCUGAGCUAUCAGAAACAUUUGAAACCAUGGUAACCACACAUCUCAUCAGGACAUUAGCGAAAGCAUAGACAAGUGGAAAAGAGGAGAGGGGAUAGAGAGAGUAAAUGAAGAGGAUGACAGAGACCUUUGAUGUAUAUUUCCUUCAUAGAGAGGUUUUAGAAACACAUCUGGCCACAUGGUUAGUUGCAGGGUUUACUGCAGCUAAUACAGCAGUUCAUAAAUUCAUCCUUCAUUAUCUUGAAGAAAACAAUUCAUAUACAGUACAUUUUAAAUACAUUUCUAAUGUUUAACCUGAAAAAUAUCAAUUUAAAAAUCCGAGAUUACAAAAGUGGAGCCCUGCCACCUUUUUCGAUACUGAUUAAUUAACCCAGCUUCACUUCUUUGGUUGUAUCUACGGUUGAAACAGUUGUUGGACACUGUGAUAGUAAACACAAUGGCUCCCUUAUACUCCUUCCUUAUCUAGGUCAUACUAUCUUUUCAUCAAACACAUUGCCCGACAUGUUUACCUAGCUCUUACGGCUGUGAGUCCAACAUUCGUGUGUGUGUGUGUGUGUGUGUGUGUGUGUGUGUGUAGCCCUCCGUCUUAUAAAAAACAGAGAAGACAACGGUAAAAGACUGGAAGCAUUUUCAUUUAAUUAACGUUCAGUAAAUUAGGAUCAGAUAGUAUGAGCUCCUUUCAUGUACGAUGGUCAAACAACUGUGCUGUGUUGUGUCUGUGUGUUGUGUAAGUACGUGCAUAUGGCAGCGCAUUUCUGUAUACAUGCGUACAUGUGAGCAUGAGCCUAAUGUGUUUGCGCUUGGUUAAUGAGGAUAUACAGAACAUCAGAGCGGGCACCAUGCCAAGUGUGCACGGAAGAGGCUCAGUGCUCCCGUCCGUCGUCCUUUAAUGUAGAAAUCAGGCUUUCCUUAGGGAUAAGGGGGGGAUGAAAAAGCAGGUAUGAUAAAAUCACCAUAGCGCUCUGUUGAGGAUCAGCCCGCUUUUGCUCAUGUGCCAGACACCUGAACACAAUUUUUCUCUAGAUUAAGACUGGAGACGAGUAAGACAAGACAUCCGUUUGCAUCUUUUUAACUGUGGGAAUUCUUCAUCCUGCCAUUUAUUGUGUGGCAUACUUCCUCUGCCAACUCCAGCUCCCCCACCGCUCCUCCUCUUUGCCCACCAUCACCACCUCCUUCCUCCCUCAUUGAAAUUCUGCCUGGCACACAGACACUGCCCAUUCUUGGCACAAAGCUCAGAGAGAGAGAGAGAGAGAGAGAGAGAGAGAAACACACAAGAACCUGUACCAAUCGUCUGGUGCCCCGUCCGUUGUGUCUGCCAAGCAUUCAUCCCGUCUCGCGGACCAAGGGACCAGGAAAUCCAAUAGGUAUUUCCCUGCCUCUGCUUCCUGCGAAAAUCUGCUCCAAUUCGGUGGAGUUUUGUUGGCAACUGAGUAUGCUGUGUGUGUGUUUGGGGAUUUGCUGAUUAAUUUGUGUGUUUACGUCGUUUGUAUUGGGUGAAGAAUAAAUGCGACGAAUCCUUCACAUCCUUUCACAGCGUAGGGGAGCAAGCUAAGGCCUAUUGUUUCCACGAGAUUUUACGUCUUAAUUUUCGCAUGGGUUUCAAUUUGUUAAAGAUUUGUGUGUUUCGAUAGUACGGGAGAUUGAUGUUAGAAGUUUAUUAAAUUUGCAUAAUAAACACUAGUUUAGCAGUCAUUUUUAUUAUUAUUAUUUCUUUUUACUUUAACCACAAAAGAGUGGAAUAAGUAGAUGUAUAUCUGAAAAGGUUAUUUUUUUUUAUAGUGUAAAAAAUAAUUAAUUUAAAACAAAUUGUAUGUCUGAAACAGAAUCAGUUAUGGGCUUCAUAGGGGCUGUUGCUGUAGAUUUGCUCCAAACUUAUUGCCAAAGAUAAAAAUUCUACAGCUGACAUGUGGUUGUGGAAAACCCAAAAGAAACACAUGCAACUGUCACCCAACGACAGAUUCAUUUUCUAAAGCAGGAAAUUGUCUCCAGAAAAACAUACCCUGGUUGGCCACAGCAGAGCAGCGUUAUCAGAGGGCAAAAGAGGACAAGGCUUAAACAGAAUACUGCUAAUAUGAAUUUACUAUCAUUUAGCCACAAUCCUGCUGUGACAGAUGCACAGACAGACUGUCUGAUAGGUAGAUGAGAUUAUCUCAAUAGGCCACAUUUCUUGUCUUUUCUUCAAGAUCCUCUCAGCUGCUCCCCAGCCUGGAGGCACUUUUCUUUAAAUGUAUUUAUUUGAGCUGUUGACAGAGAAAAUGAUUUGACCCAGCCGAGCCAUGUGUGCCCCUUUUAUGUGCCAUAGACAAAGUCCAUGAUCACAGACGACAGUGCCCAAUAGAGCUCACAUGACUGACUGAAGUUUGGCCUCACUGUUUCCAAAACAGUCGGGAGUUGUGCAGGGAACAGAACGGCAAUUUCUGCAAUUAACCCAGAAGCACAGAAUUCCCCACAAGCAUUUAUUGUUUAAAUCGUUUUUUCGUUCGCGGCUGUGCUCAGAUGUCCUGUUAAAUCUUCAUUAAUUUGCCCCUUUCCCCCCCAGUAAACUGUGUUAUAUCACUAUUAGUCUGUUCCCCUUGUCCUUCAAAUACAGCUCCAGUCAGGGGAUGUUUCUUGGCGACCAAACAGAGCUCGUAGAUAUGUCACUGGCACUGUGGCAGAGUUGGGCAUCAUGCCAACACACCCCCACCUCCUUCUGUCUGUCUGGUCUUCUGUAAUCAGACUAGCAGGGUCUACUGCAUGCUAACUAUGAGCUGGUCUGGACCAAGUCUCAGGGGUUGUGGCUGUAUGCUAAUUUAUGCAAGCAGUGUACCUCCUAACCCCUUCUCUGUCUAUCUGAGGCCCAGGUCUGGCAUUUAGUCUGGCACUCAUUAACCCUUCAGUCACUGCCGUGUUAACCUGCUUGCCCAGCCCAACCUUUAUCCCAGAGGAGUUUAGCAUGGGAGAGAGAAGUCUUUCUAAGUGAAUUUAAUAAACCAAAAAUACAAUCUGCUUGCUCAGUGAGAGUGCCGAAUGUUUGCUCAAGCCAGAUAUUAAUGGUACGAGUAAAUUCACAGGAAGGUGGACGUGCGGUAUUUGAUGAUGCUUUUUCUCUGUGAACUUUCCAGCUGUCUGAUAAGUUUGGUUAGAUUUGCGCUCUUAUUCUGUACCCGUUGAUAGCGAAUGUGUCGUGUGGAUCUGUUGGCUUCACAUCAGUGCUUGGCACAAGAUUGAUUCUCCAUCGCUUUCAACUGAACAGCCGCUCUUUCUUUAUUGUGAUACAGCAGACUUGGAAAAACCCCUGAAAGGUAGACCUUAUAGUCUUUUUAAGCAGACCUAAAAUGGCCGAUGUGCGAGACGCCAUUUUGUGUUUCCUUGUUGUGUUUUGGGGGGCAGAAUCCCAGCCUUGUAUUCAAUCAGAGGCAGCUGGUGGAAGCCAUAUUUGCAGGCAUCUGUGUGUGUACCUCCGUCUGAGAAGCAGCAGCCAGCCUACACAGGGAUAGCCCACUGGAAUGAGCUCAGUUUUUGGCAAAAACGGAAACGAAUUCCUGGCACAGAGUCGAGCAGCUCUUUUUUUUUUCCUCUUUCGAUCACAUGCCAGAGUCUCAGGAAGCCAGUGAGUUGUUUGUUGGGCUUUCACACAUUAGUGCUCUCACUUUUCGGUGCCUGCUUACCGUUAAAUUAUUUGUUUGAGAUUUAUAUUAAUGAAACAGAUUUCUUAAAUAUGUUCAGCUCCGCAUAAACUCCCCCCGCCCAAAAAGAAUGGUUUAUCGCGGAGGAUGUGCCAAUAUGAAAAAUGUCACAGGUUCCUCCUUUGUUCAUGAUAAACGUUUCUUCAAAUCUUGGCAGUCCAAGACUAGUCAUGUAACACUUCGAGUUUUCAGCGAUAAGUUGUGAGUUUGAACCGUUUCCAGGAACAAAGAGAUAAAACUGAAAAAUGUGAUUACACUCCUUUGUGCAGGGACUGAAUUUGAACACAUCAGACGGAAACGUUGCGUAAAUAUACCCUUAAAAAGUCCUGCCUAGUUUUAUCUUCCAUGUAUUUUACAGAGAAGAGUAAUUAAUUAUGAUAACCCUCUCUGUCUCUUUUUCUUUGUACCAUUACAGGUGAGUUACCUUUGUGGAUCUUUGAUGCUGAAGCAACGUGGAUGCUGUCCUUGGGGCUGAGGUAGUAGAUUGAAUAGUUGUGGGGUUGUGUAACCUCUUUUUGAGAUAACUAUACAAUCUACUGUCUUUCCCAAGGAGACAGCAGAGUCAGCCACUCGCCUACAGUCAUCUCCAGAUGGUCAAUCAUGCUGUCCAGUCAUAACAUACGCUUCCAGCAAUCAACAUAAUACACUGUGACAAGCAUUGUUUUUGUGUUUUGCUAGGACAGGUGAAUUAGGUUUUUCCUCUAACAGGACGUGAACGAGUGGUGUGUUUGAUUUGGGCUCUGUCAGGGUGAGGUAGUAGGUUGUAUAGUUUGGUGGGUGGGAUUGCACCCUGCUCAGGUGAUAACUAUACAGUCUAUUGCCUUCCCUGAGGAGCUCACUGAACACUCAUGAAUGUUCAUCACACUCUCAGACUGAGCAUUUAUUCUUAUACGACUUCAGGGGAAAAAAACAACGUAUAUGUGUGCUGCUAUAGGUUAGUGAUGCAUUGAUUGAAGCUGUCAAAUGAGUUACUAAAAAAAUAUGUUUAUCUCAAUAAAGUCAUACUUGUCUCAAA